RNAcentral lists this transfer RNA (71 nucleotides) under Isurus paucus (longfin mako shark). RNAcentral describes it as "tRNA-Trp". It matches the Rfam family "tRNA". From Rfam's summary of the family: Transfer RNA (tRNA) molecules are approximately 80 nucleotides in length. Their secondary structure includes four short double-helical elements and three loops (D, anti-codon, and T loops). Further hydrogen bonds mediate the characteristic L-shaped molecular structure. tRNAs have two regions of fundamental functional importance: the anti-codon, which is responsible for specific mRNA codon recognition, and the 3' end, to which the tRNAs corresponding amino acid is attached (by aminoacyl-tRNA synthetases). tRNAs cope with the degeneracy of the genetic code in two manners: having more than one tRNA (with a specific anti-codon) for a particular amino acid; and 'wobble' base-pairing, i.e. permitting non-standard base-pairing at the 3rd anti-codon position. Lineage: Eukaryota; Metazoa; Chordata; Chondrichthyes; Lamniformes; Lamnidae. The record is from RNAcentral. RNAcentral also lists the same sequence under 2 other names.
AGAAAUUUAGGUUAACAACAGACCAAAAGCCUUCAAAGCUUUAAGUAGAAGUGAAAAUCUCCUAAUUUCUG